Molecule: long non-coding RNA, 665 nt
Organism: Oryzias latipes (Japanese medaka)
Lineage: Eukaryota; Metazoa; Chordata; Actinopteri; Beloniformes; Adrianichthyidae
Source: RefSeq, a predicted model, not a curated record
UGUCUUGUCUGCCCUGUCUGUAUUUAAGUCUCGUCUCUCCCUUCCUCUUGUGCUGGUCCAUUAACGUCACUAACGUCUUUAAGGUCGCUUUGUCCCUGACUCCCUUCUUGCCAUGUUUCAUGCUUUGCCACAGCAGCGGGCCCGACGCAGCAGGACAAGCGGGAGUUGGCGGUACACCUGUUGCGCGAGGGGCAGCGGCCGAUGAGGGGGGCGAGCCGCCAGGAAGAGGAGAGGUGGCGGCGCUCAUCGCAGCACCUGCCGCGGGGGGAGACGCAGCGGGCUGUGAACGUGACGCCCCGGUCGGGACCGCAGAUGGAAAGCUCGGAUUGUUUGAUCCCGCGAGGACGUGGGUUCCGUUCGUGAGGCGGCGGGUGUGUCAGGGCGUCUACUCACUGCGUCUCACGAGCUGUCGACGUUUGGCGGGCGAUGAGCCACCAGUAUGCAGCAGCAGCCAUCUCAAACCCAUAAUCAAUGAAAAUUACAUCAAUUUUCAUUGAUUAUCCUUAAAUAUUUUAGCCUUUGUUUCUACUUUAAAUGUCUUCUUUAGUUAACUCUCCAAAUUUCUUUUUCUGACUGAUGCUUGUUUGUAAGCAGAACCAUUGAAGAAAGAAAGAAAAAACUCACUCUAAAAAAGGACCACAAAUUAAUAAAUGACUCAAUCUGUA